CAGGACAGAGGAAAGAAUGAGGUCCAGUAGGAAAAAAAGCAUUCUUGGCAUGAAAACUCCCCCCUACUUGCUUGAAAAUGGUCCAUAGCAGUAGAAGGUAAGAAUCUAGCAACCAGAGAUUUGCUGAACAUAACAGAAAAGAAAAUGGGAUUUAUUUUUUUCUUUAAUGGGGAAGGGGCUUAACGCUGGCAAGGUUACACUUGAAAGUAAGUCCUCUAGGUAUGAGCUAUUAAUAAAGGGUAAAAUAUAUUCUGGAAUUGGAUUUUCAAAUUAAUAUGAAACCUCUUUUUACUCCAGUGGUUUCUAUAGCAAGUAGAGGAAUGGUCCCCAGAUUUUGUUACUGAACCAGCUGAUAUGCCAGUUAGUAAGUGGAAAGCUCCUACUUUGUGUAUGGUUAUGCUCCUGAGCAUUCUAAAACAAUUCAGCAAGCAACUGCUAUGGCUUGAGGAAAGUAACUGUCUGCCUUUUAAUGCUGAAGAGAACUUUCUUGGAAUCAUGAAAAUAUUUAUCAUAAAAGGCGAUCACACACGAUCCAAUCCCCUAUCAAAAAAGGAAGCCUUACCUGAUGGCAGAAACAGCGGCUGCAGGAGCAGCAGUAGAAAGAGCAGCAGCAGCAGCAAGAUGCAACAAGCCAGGCUUUGCAAGGAAGGUGAGAUAUUCUCUCUCUCUCCCCCUCUCUCUUUCUCUCUGUGUUAUUCUUCUAAAUCACUGUAGCAGCAAACUGCCUUGCAUUGUGUCCUCUUUCAGUCACAAAAAGGUACUUCAAGCCGCGCAGCCAGCAGACACCACUUUCUUCCUGGAAGCGGCUGCCUCUCUUCUCAGAAACGCCUGGACCCCUCUCUGUGGCUCCCUCCACGUUUACCCUUCAGAUCAAUGAUGCUCGCAGAGCGGCUGGAGCUCAGCUGCAGCGCCGAGCGGCCAGCCAAUGGGGACCCAGGAUUCCCUCCCAGUCAUCUCCCCGCCCUCAAAACAAAACACAGCGUGCCUUUGACACAUCAACGAGUUGUGAAAAGUACUUGAAUCCUAUAUUUUAGAUUUAUCUUGGUUGUUCUUUUUUUUCCUUAGCGUUCCCUGCGUAAGGCUUGUAAGAAUCAAAGCUCUCCGAACACUCGUUAAAAGAGCUUAGUAGAGGAAGAAGAUUGGGCGCGGAGAAAGUGAGGGCACCAGAGUUAGCGCUGGAGCGUUGGCGUUUAAACGCUUAAGGACUGUUCAAAAUCAAAGAACUAUCGGCAAAAAGUUCUGGGAGGCAAAAAGCUUGGAUUCUAGUCCUCACUCCCGUAAAUAGCUUCCUUUAUUUUUGUGGAACCAGAAAAUAAAGUCCACUUUCACCUGAAUGUUAUCA
This 1342-nucleotide long non-coding RNA is filed under the name Sus scrofa (pig). Its description in RNAcentral is "lncRNA (ENSSSCG00070010467.1)". Lineage: Eukaryota; Metazoa; Chordata; Mammalia; Artiodactyla; Suidae. The record is from RNAcentral.